UUUCGUUGCCCUUCUCUGGACACACUCCAGGGCCUCAAUAUCUUCCUUGUAGUGAGGGGCUCAAAACACAGUACGCGACGUGCAGCCUCACCAGGCUAAGCACAGGGGGAUGAUUACAUCUCUGCUCCUGCUGGCCACACUAUUUCUAAUGCAGGCAAUUCUGUCCUGCAGCUAGAGACCAGAAAUCCUUUGACCAAUUGUAGGAGAAGCUUCUAAACUGGUUGUUUGUCUGAAGGUUAGCUUCUGCUGUCCUAAAAAAACUGAUACAGCCCCUGACCAGCAGACAAGACAGCUAGAAGCUGAGCUAUUGUGACUUUAAGGGUUGUCCCCUGAGACUGGAAAACAUGACUGGAUUUGCCCUUCAGUUUGAUUUCACAAGAGACCUGCCAAUUAGGAUUUGCUCCUGUAUAAUGAAGUGGGCUAGUGGAAGUAUGUAAUCCUUUAUUGGAUGCCUGGGGCUCAACAAAAUGAAAUUAUAUAGAAAUGAAUGGAAUACACUAUACAUUGUGCUUUGGUUUUCACUUGAUAUUUAUUUUUGUAAGUGCUUGUUUUAGUUUUGUUUUAACACAUCUGCUUUUGGUUAUGCCUGAUUGUAUGAAACAUCAUCUUGUGUCUGUGAGCCAGGACUGCGCUUACUCCUCUUCAUGAACCUGAAAUGCAAUUGGGAAAGUAUAUAGCUGUUGAAAAACAAAGCACUGCAGGGGAUUUAGGGCCACGUGUUGACUUGGUUGCUUCUGCAGCAUGUCUGUUAGCAUGGCUGAGCUGGAUUUCCAUCUCGUUGAGGUCUCCUUCCAUCUUCUUCUUCAGCCGAAUGGCCUCAUUUCUGCUCCGGGCUUCAGAAUCGAGGGUGGACUGCAGAGAAUCUAUGGUGACCCAACAGACCAGCCUUGAAGAACACCUGGUACAUGCACAGAUGCCAUUUGAUGACAAUGACUAGUUUUCUUCCAAAGUAUACAAGCAGUUAGCUAUACACACAUUGUUGUAAUUGUUCAGAAUAAUGGUAGUUCUGUUGGCACAUUUAUUAAGAAAUAAGAUGAUACUUGCAUUAAUAAGAAAUAAGGUACUUUCAUUAGGGACUGCACUGUUCCACUGUUUCUUUAGAAUCAAAUCUCAUGUUCCUAGUUUUGAAUAAGUGAAACUGUUUUAUUGACAUUCUCCAAAGUACAUUUCAGCUGUGACAGGGUUCAGUGCAGGUCGGCUAAACCACUGUCAGGUCCCUACUAAUGGGAUCAUGUCACACAGCUUCGUUAAAAAAGCUGCAGCUGACCUCAUGGUGCAAAUGAGCUAGUAUUUUACUGGGGAGCAUGGAAUAUCAGCUGCUCUUGUGUUUGUUUGUACUGUUGCUGUAAUACAAGCUUUUUGGGAGCUUAAGCUAGAGAAAUAACUUUCCUCUAGCACAGUUUAAAAUUAAUUUUGGUUUUCUGCUAUACUGCUAGUUCCUAUAUUAUCAACUCCUCAUUAACUGACACAACCAGAGGUUGCAUAGAGUCCUAUUCUGCGGAUUAGAUCCCUUGCCUUUCUCUUUACACAUUCAUUAAUCAUCUUUCUCUGGUUACCUUAGUAUGCCCGAAACGAUAUUGGUUAUGGUCAAUAUCUAAAGAUGCCAGUAGUUUUUCGGCAGCUUUCCUGCUAUCCACAAACUUAUCCUCUGGGAUUGCACCUGGAUUCAGAAUGCGGUACCUGUUAACAACAGAGGAGCAAUAAAUGAAACUAGCAUAGUGGCCUGGACUAAUUUCCUACUUUGCAUCUACACAACCGCAAGAGCAGAGUUCUGCCUUCCACAUUCAGACCAAGAGAAUGGAAAAUAAACUGGAAUGGAAUAAAACAUUUCCAAUUAAAAAUGAGAAGGCAUGCUUUGCUUAUUUUGUCUGUUGGGACAGGACGGGAGACAACACAGCUCUGCAUUACCUUUGUUUAAAGUCAGCAUAAAGCACCCUGUUUGGGAAACCCUUACGGCAAAUGCGAAUGCCUUCCAGGACGCCAUUACAGCGGAGCUGAUGCAAGACAAGAAAAGCAUCCAUUGCACCUACAGGGGAGAAACAAAGCUAAACUCUUCCAUAGGGCUUAAUCUUCAUUUCACCAAGGGAACUAAAAAAAGUGAGGUGCCAUCUCACAAAAGGGCAACAUCAUGGGAUUAGGUGAACCACAUACAUAGACAAUAUUCAAAUUCAUUCCAGGGGGCUUGCAAGUAAAUACUGGAAUUACGUUGUUCAAAUAUUCUGAGGUUUUAAGACAGCUGUGUUUUCCAUACCUGGUGUUUUUGAUUCGUUGGGAAUAAUGCAUCGUACGAAGUGAGGGGCUGUAGAUUUUAGGUUAGUCAUUAGUUUAUUUAAAUUUUCCUGGAACAGACAUACAAAAAACACAUUGAGCUUUAAUGGUUUUGUUGAAUUUUCAUCACUUAUUUCUUUGGUUUCUUGGUUAAGCUUAUUAAAGUCAUUUCUCUAAGUAGUCCUCAAUAAGAUUAUGAGCUUAAAAAGUCAUUAAAAAUAAAUGAUUUCAAAUAAAUCAAAGCAUAAAUUAACUUUAUUGUACAAGUCAACAUUUGUUUUAGGAAAAUCUUAAGAAGAUGUAUUUUACUUACAGACCCAAAAGUGUCACAAACCGUGUGUAGUGCCAGCAAGAUGCAGUAUCAUGCCACAGAACAUUCCUGUAAAACUAGUGUUUUGCAUUUCUUCUUCUUACACUAACUACAGGACAUAUUCUUCAGGUAAUGGUACAUGAA
Long non-coding RNA from Centrocercus urophasianus (Greater sage-grouse), 2722 nucleotides. RefSeq lists it as uncharacterized. NCBI's taxonomy places the organism in Eukaryota, Metazoa, Chordata, Aves, Galliformes, Phasianidae. The record is from RefSeq and is a predicted model, not a curated record. The transcript is spliced from 3 exons.